UCCGGAGGGAGCUAGCGUUGUUCGGAAUUACUGGGCGUAAAGCGCGCGUAGGCGGUUUUUUAAGUCGGAUGUGCAAUCCCUGGGCUCAACCCAGGAACUGCAUCCGAGACUGGAAGGCUAGAGUACUGGAGAGGGUGGUGGAAUUCCUCGUGUAGCGGUGAAAUGCGUAGAGAUGAGGAGGAACACCAGUGGCGAAGGCGGCCACCUGGACAGUAACUGACGCUGAGGCACGAAAGCGUGGGGAGCAAACAGG
This 253-nucleotide ribosomal RNA is filed under the name uncultured bacterium. RNAcentral describes it as "partial 16S ribosomal RNA". It matches the Rfam family "Bacterial small subunit ribosomal RNA", at positions 524 to 776 of the family's 1533-position model. The record is from RNAcentral.